CCUACGGGUGGCAGCAGUGAGGAAUAUUGGUCAAUGGACGAGAGUCUGAACCAGCCAAGUAGCGUGAAGGAUGACUGCCCUAGGGGUUGUAAACUUCUUUUAUAUGGGAAUAAAAUGUUCCACGUUUGGGAUUUUGUAUGUACCAUAUGAAUAAGGAUCGGCUAACUCCGUGCCAGCAGCCGCGGUAAUACGGAGGAUCCGAGCGUUAUCCGGAUUUAUUGGGUUUAAAGGGAGCGUAGGUGGAUUGUUAAGUCAGUUGUGAAAGUUUGCGGCUUAACCGUAAAAUUGCAGUUGAAACUGGCAGUCUUGAGUACAGUAGAGGUGGGCGGAAUUCGUGGUGUAGCGGUGAAAUGCUUAGAUAUCACGAAGAACUCCGAUUGCGAAGGCAGUUCACUGGACUGCAACUGACACUGAGGCUCGAAAGUGUGGGUAUCAAACAGGAUUAGAUACCCCGGUAGUC
Molecule: ribosomal RNA, 460 nt
Filed under: uncultured bacterium
Lineage: Bacteria
Description: partial 16S ribosomal RNA
Rfam family: Bacterial small subunit ribosomal RNA
Source: RNAcentral